Molecule: ribosomal RNA, 651 nt
Filed under: Spongiibacter marinus
Lineage: Bacteria; Pseudomonadati; Pseudomonadota; Gammaproteobacteria; Cellvibrionales; Spongiibacteraceae
Description: bacterial SSU rRNA
Rfam family: Bacterial small subunit ribosomal RNA
Source: RNAcentral
AGUAGAGUGGCGGACGGGUGAGUAACGCGUGGGAAUCUACCUAGUAGUGGAGGAUAACUCGGGGAAACUCGAGCUAAUACUGCAUACGCCCUACGGGGGAAAGCGGGGGAUCUUCGGACCUCGCGCUAUUGGAUGAGCCCGCGUUAGAUUAGCUUGUUGGUGAGGUAAUGGCUCACCAAGGCGACGAUCUAUAGCUGGUCUGAGAGGAUGAUCAGCCACAUUGGGACUGAGACACGGCCCAAACUCCUACGGGAGGCAGCAGUGGGGAAUAUUGCGCAAUGGGCGAAAGCCUGACGCAGCCAUGCCGCGUGUGUGAAGAAGGCCUUCGGGUUGUAAAGCACUUUCAAUAGGGAGGAAAGGUUGUAGCUUAAUACGUUGCAACUGUGACGUUACCUAUAGAAGAAGCACCGGCUAACUCCGUGCCAGCAGCCGCGGUAAUACGGAGGGUGCGAGCGUUAAUCGGAAUUACUGGGCGUAAAGCGCGCGUAGGCGGCUUCGUCAGUCAGAUGUGAAAGCCCCGGGCUCAACCUGGGAACUGCAUUUGAUACUGCGGAGCUAGAGUAUGGUAGAGGAUAGUGGAAUUCCAGGUGUAGCGGUGAAAUGCGUAGAUAUCUGGAGGAACAUCAGUGGCGAAGGCGACUGUCUGGACCA